RNAcentral lists this ribosomal RNA (279 nucleotides) under uncultured bacterium. Its description in RNAcentral is "partial 16S ribosomal RNA". It matches the Rfam family "Bacterial small subunit ribosomal RNA", at positions 506 to 784 of the family's 1533-position model. The record is from RNAcentral.
UGCCAGCCGCCGCGGUAAUACGGAGGGUGCAAGCGUUGUUCGGAUUUACUGGGCGUAAAGGGCGCGUAGGCGGUUUUCCAAGCCAAGGGUGAAAUCCUACAGCUUAACUGUAGAACUGCCUUUGAUACUGCAAAUCUUGAGUUCGGAAGGGAGAGGCGGAAUUCCAGGUGUAGUGGUGAAAUACGUAGAUAUCUGGAAGAACACCAGAGGCGAAGGCGGUCUCUUGGUCCGAAACUGACGCUGAGGCGCGAAAGCGUGGGGAGCAAACAGGAUUAGAUA